This 504-nucleotide ribosomal RNA is filed under the name uncultured Pseudomonas sp. RNAcentral describes it as "bacterial SSU rRNA". It matches the Rfam family "Bacterial small subunit ribosomal RNA", at positions 904 to 1382 of the family's 1533-position model. Lineage: Bacteria; Pseudomonadati; Pseudomonadota; Gammaproteobacteria; Pseudomonadales; Pseudomonadaceae. The record is from RNAcentral.
GCGCCUUGCCAGCCCGCUCAGAAACUACAAGGAAUUGACGGGGCCCGCACAAGCGGAGGAGCAUGUGGUUUAAUUCGAUGAUACGCGAGGAACCUUACCUGGGCUCGAACGUAAGAUGACUGUAGGUGAAAGCUUACAUCUCUUCGGAGCAUUUUACGAGGUGCUGCAUGGUUGUCGUCAGCUCGUGCCGUGAGGUGUCGGGUUAAGUCCCGUAACGAGCACAACCCUUGUCCUUAGUUACCAGCACGUUAUGGUGGGCACCCUAAGGAGACUGCCGGUGACAACCGGAGGAAGGUGGGGAUGACGUCAAGUCAUCAUGGCCCUUACGGCCUGGGCUACACACGUGCUACAAUGGUCGGUACAAAGGGUUGCCAAGCCGCGAGGUGGAGCUAAUCCCAUAAAACCGAUCGUAGUCCGGAUCGCAGUCUGCAACUCGACUGCGUGAAGUCGGAAUCGCUAGUAAUCGUGAAUCAGAAUGUCACGGUGAAUACGUUCCCGGGCCUU